RNAcentral lists this ribosomal RNA (118 nucleotides) under uncultured bacterium. Its description in RNAcentral is "partial 16S ribosomal RNA". It matches the Rfam family "Bacterial small subunit ribosomal RNA", at positions 1360 to 1482 of the family's 1533-position model. The record is from RNAcentral.
CGGUGAAUACGUUCCCGGGCCUUGUACACACCGCCCGUCAAACCAUGGAAGCUGAGGGUACCUGAAGUCCGUAACCACUCCGGUGGAGCGGCCUAGGGUAAAACCAGUGACUGGGGUU